GUGAGGGGUGCAGUGAGGAGCAGCGGUGGCCACGCCCGGGAAUCAUUUUGGUGAUUUAACCCCUAAUUCCAACCCUUGAUGCUGAGUCCCAAGCAGGGAGGUUGAGUUUGUGACGAACCCCAAGAUGCAGAGAAUGCGGCAGGCAUUGUGAAGCUGUUGGUUGAUUUAUUAUAUAUUGUAUAUAUUAUUGUGGAGAGGCGGAGCCAACGGGCCGACGGCGGGGCAGGGCACGCUGCAGCUCUGCCCAGGAUGGUACCAAGGAGGCGGAGAAUGCGGCGGAGCGGGGAGGCGGGGCGUGCUGGGAGAGACGCCGCCGCAAUCUAAUUCAGGUGACGUGGAUCGUACACCGGCACACAAUUAACUUUUCUCCUCUGGCUGUAUAAAAGGGGAGAAGGAGGAAAGAUCAGGGAAGGAGUAGGAGAACCAGCAGCGGAACCUGACGAGUGAAAACGACCGAGAGCGAGCCGAAGACAGCGACUGAAAGCGAGCAGGAGAGGAGCAGCUGAAAAGCGAUCCGACCAAAAGACAA
Long non-coding RNA from Nerophis ophidion (straightnose pipefish), 529 nucleotides. RefSeq lists it as uncharacterized. The record is from RefSeq and is a predicted model, not a curated record. Lineage: Eukaryota; Metazoa; Chordata; Actinopteri; Syngnathiformes; Syngnathidae. The transcript is spliced from 3 exons.